UAGAGUUUGAUCCUGGCUCAGGACGAACGCUGGCGGCGUGCUUAACACAUGCAAGUCGAACGGAAAGGCCCUGCUUGCAGGGUACUCGAGUGGCGAACGGGUGAGUAACACGUGGGUGAUCUGCCCUGCACUUCGGGAUAAGCCUGGGAAACUGGGUCUAAUACCGGAUAGGAGCCAUUUUUAGUGUGAUGGUUGGAAAGUUUUUCGGUGUAGGAUGAGCUCGCGGCCUAUCAGCUUGUUGGUGGGGUAAUGGCCUACCAAGGCGGCGACGGGUAGCCGGCCUGAGAGGGUGGACGGCCACAUUGGGACUGAGAUACGGCCCAGACUCCUACGGGAGGCAGCAGUGGGGAAUAUUGCACAAUGGGCGCAAGCCUGAUGCAGCGACGCCGCGUGGGGGAUGACGGCCUUCGGGUUGUAAACUCCUUUCGCUAGGGACGAAGCUUUUUGUGACGGUACCUAGAUAAGAAGCACCGGCUAACUACGUGCCAGCAGCCGCGGUAAU
Molecule: ribosomal RNA, 502 nt
Filed under: uncultured bacterium
Lineage: Bacteria
Description: bacterial SSU rRNA
Rfam family: Bacterial small subunit ribosomal RNA
Source: RNAcentral